GAUGAACGCUGGCGGCGUGCUUAACACAUGCAAGUCGAACGGAAAGGCUCCUGCUUGCAGGGGUACUCGAGUGGCGAACGGGUGAGUAACACGUGGGUGAUCUGCCCUGCACUUCGGGAUAAGCCUGGGAAACUGGGUCUAAUACCGGAUAGGACGAUGGUUUGGAUGCCAUUGUGGAAAGUUUUUCGGUGUGGGAUGAGCUCGCGGCCUAUCAGCUUGUUGGUGGGGUAAUGGCCUACCAAGGCGUCGACGGGUAGCCGGCCUGAGAGGGUGUACGGCCACAUUGGGACUGAGAUACGGCCCAGACUCCUACGGGAGGCAGCAGUGGGGAAUAUUGCACAAUGGGCGCAAGCCUGACGCAGCGACGCCGCGUGGGGGAUGACGGCCUUCGGGUUGUAAACUCCUUUCGCUAGGGACGAAGCGCAAGUGACGGUACCUGGAGAAGAAGCACCGGCUAACUACGUG
This 465-nucleotide ribosomal RNA is filed under the name uncultured bacterium. RNAcentral's name for it is "partial 16S ribosomal RNA". It matches the Rfam family "Bacterial small subunit ribosomal RNA", at positions 28 to 507 of the family's 1533-position model. The record is from RNAcentral.